CUCAAGAAGUUAGCGGCGGACGGGUGAGUAACACGUGGGUAACCUGCCCAUAAGACUGGGAUAACUCCGGGAAACCGGGGCUAAUACCGGAUAACAUUUUGAACUGCAUGGUUCGAAAUUGAAAGGCGGCUUCGGCUGUCACUUAUGGAUGGACCCGCGUCGCAUUAGCUAGUUGGUGAGGUAACGGCUCACCAAGGCAACGAUGCGUAGCCGACCUGAGAGGGUGAUCGGCCACACUGGGACUGAGACACGGCCCAGACUCCUACGGGAGGCAGCAGUAGGGAAUCUUCCGCAAUGGACGAAAGUCUGACGGAGCAACGCCGCGUGAGUGAUGAAGGCUUUCGGGUCGUAAAACUCUGUUGUUAGGGAAGAACAAGUGCUAGUUGAAUAAGCUGGCACCUUGACGGUACCUAACCAGAAAGCCACGGCUAACUACGUGCCAGCAGCCGCGGUAAUACGUAGGUGGCAAGCGUUAUCCGGAAUUAUUGGGCGUAAAGCGCGCGCAGGUGGUUUCUUAAGUCUGAUGUGAAAGCCCACGGCUCAACCGUGGAGGGUCAUUGGAAACUGGGAGACUUGAGUGCAGAAGAGGAAAGUGGAAUUCCAUGUGUAGCGGUGAAAUGCGUAGAGAUAUGGAGGAACACCAGUGGCGAAGGCGACUUUCUGGUCUGUAACUGACACUGAGGCGCGAAAGCG
Molecule: ribosomal RNA, 693 nt
Filed under: microbial fuel cell bacterium P4
Lineage: Bacteria; Bacillati; Bacillota; Bacilli; Caryophanales; Bacillaceae
Description: bacterial SSU rRNA
Rfam family: Bacterial small subunit ribosomal RNA
Source: RNAcentral